CUGCAACUGUUUAUUAAAAACACAGCACUGUGCAAACACGAAAGUGGACGUAUACGGUGUGACGCCUGCCCGGUGCCGGAAGGUUAAUUGAUGGGGUCAGCGCAAGCGAAGCUCCUGAUCGAAGCCCCGGUAAACGGCGGCCGUAACUAUAACGGUCCUAAGGUAGCGAAAUUCCUUGUCGGGUAAGUUCCGACCUGCACGAAUGGCGUAAUGAUGGCCAGGCUGUCUCCACCCGAGACUCAGUGAAAUUGAACUCGCUGUGAAGAUGCAGUGUACCCGCGGCAAGACGGAAAGACCCCGUGAACCUUUACUAUAGCUUGACACUGAACAUUGAGCCUUGAUGUGUAGGAUAGGUGGGAGGCUUUGAAGUGUGGACGCCAGUCUGCAUGGAGCCGACCUUGAAAUACCACCCUUUAAUGUUUGAUGUUCUAACGUGGACCCGUAAUCCGGGUUGCGGACAGUGUCUGGUGGGUAGUUUGACUGGGGCGGUCUCCUCCUAAAGAGUAACGGAGGAGCACGAAGGUUGGCUAAUCCUGGUCGGACAUCAGGAGGUUAGUGCAAUGGCAUAAGCCAGCUUGACUGCGAGCGUGACGGCGCGAGCAGGUGCGAAAGCAGGUCAUAGUGAUCCGGUGGUUCUGAAUGGAAGGGCCAUCGCUCAACGGAUAAAAGGUACUCCGGGGAUAACAGGCUGAUACCGCCCAAGAGUUCAUAUCGACGGCGGUGUUUGGCACCUCGAUGUCGGCUCAUCACAUCCUGGGGCUGAAGUAGGUCCCAAGGGUAUGGCUGUUCGCCAUUUAAAGUGGUACGCGAGCUGGGUUUAGAACGUCGUGAGACAGUUCGGUCCCUAUCUGCCGUGGGCGCUGGAGAACUGAGGGGGGCUGCUCCUAGUACGAGAGGACCGGAGUGGACGCAUCACUGGUGUUCGGGUUGUCAUGCCAAUGGCACUGCCCGGUAGCUAAAUGCGGAAGAGAUAAGUGCUGAAAGCAUCUAAGCACGAAACUUGCCCCGAGAUGAGUUCUCCCUGAGACUUUAGGUCUCCUGAAGGAACGUUGAAGACGACGACGUUGAUAGGCCGGGUGUGUAAGCGCAGCGAUGCGUUGAGCUAACCGGUACUAAUGAACCGUGAGGCUUAACCUUACAACGCCGAA
Molecule: ribosomal RNA, 1148 nt
Filed under: Salmonella enterica subsp. enterica
Lineage: Bacteria; Pseudomonadati; Pseudomonadota; Gammaproteobacteria; Enterobacterales; Enterobacteriaceae
Description: partial 23S ribosomal RNA
Rfam family: Bacterial large subunit ribosomal RNA
Source: RNAcentral